GACGAACGCUGGCGGCGUGCUUAACACAUGCAAGUCGAACGGAAAGGCCCUGCUUUUUUGGGGUGCUCGAGUGGCGAACGGGUGAGUAACACGUGAGUAACCUGCCCUUGACUUUGGGAUAACUUCAGGCAACUGGGGCUAAUACCGGAUAGGAGCUCCUGCUUCAUGGUGGGGGUUGGAAAGUUUCGGCGGUUGGGGAUGGACUCGCGGCUUAUCAGCUCGUUGGUGGGGUAGUGGCUUACCAAGGCUUUGACGGGUAGCCGGCCUGAGAGGGUGACCGGCCACAUUGGGACGGAGAUACGGCCCAGACUCCUACGGGAGGCAGCAGUGGGGAAGAUGGCACAAUGGGCGGAAGCAUGAUGCAGCAACGCCGCGUGCGGGAUGACGGCCUUCGGGUUGUAAACCGCUUUCGCCUGUGACGAAGCGUGAGUGACGGUAAUGGGUAAAGAAGCACCGGCUAACUACGUG
This 468-nucleotide ribosomal RNA is filed under the name uncultured bacterium. Its description in RNAcentral is "partial 16S ribosomal RNA". It matches the Rfam family "Bacterial small subunit ribosomal RNA", at positions 28 to 507 of the family's 1533-position model. The record is from RNAcentral.